UACGAAGGGAGCUAGCGUUGUUCGGAAUCACUGGGCGUAAAGCGCACGUAGGCGGAUUUGCCAGUCAGGGGUGAAAUCCCGGGGCUCAACCUCGGAACUGCCUUUGAUACAGCAAGUCUCGAGUUCGAGAGAGGUGGGUGGAAUUCCUAGUGUAGAGGUGAAAUUCGUAGAUAUUAGGAAGAACACCGGUGGCGAAGGCGGCCCACUGGCUCGACACUGACGCUGAGGUGCGAAAGCGUGGGGAGCAAACAGG
RNAcentral lists this ribosomal RNA (253 nucleotides) under uncultured bacterium. RNAcentral's name for it is "partial 16S ribosomal RNA". It matches the Rfam family "Bacterial small subunit ribosomal RNA", at positions 524 to 776 of the family's 1533-position model. The record is from RNAcentral.